This 618-nucleotide long non-coding RNA is filed under the name Anolis carolinensis (green anole). RNAcentral's name for it is "lncRNA (ENSACAG00000033371.2)". The record is from RNAcentral. Lineage: Eukaryota; Metazoa; Chordata; Lepidosauria; Squamata; Anolidae.
AUGAACUCAAAAGCAAGCAGACGGGGAAAAGGCAGGCAGUGCAAGCCUCCUGUGCACAACGCAGGUGAAGGAAAUGCGGCAAAGUGCCACAGGUGGCAAGGCUGGCUCUCUUUCUGGGGGAGGAUCCAGAGCCAGGAGCCGCUUCCCGGGAGCCCAAGGCGGAUGGACGGCUUUGGAAAGGGAUAUAAACCUGCCCAGGUUCGAGGAAAGAGCAGAGAUGGGUUGGUAGAACAACCAGUUCGAACAGUACUUUCCAGCUGUCCAAGCCGGUGGAGAUCUGCUGAAAGAAGCACUUCUUUCCAUUACAACCCCUACGAUUCCUCUGCCUACAAUUCCUAUGGAGAGCACAACGAGGAAAGGACACGGAGGCAGAAUCCCUCCAUUCAUAUACCCAUGAACUCAAGGCGGAUUCCGGAUUCCAGUAGCGAGUACGGAUUAAGAGAUUCUUCAUUUGGAACGCCCAGUUCAAAUCCAUAUGGAAAUGCACAUGUCAAUCCUUCAUUUGACUACGAGGCGGAAUUUGCACAGACUUUACCUACGGACAGUCAUGCUCCGAAUCACCAUUAUACUCGGAAAACCUUCUGCUCCAUCCAACGGAGAAGAAAAAUUAAUUGGUGA